Non-coding RNA from Bacteroidetes bacterium GWA2_30_7, 85 nucleotides. NCBI's taxonomy places the organism in Bacteria, Pseudomonadati, Bacteroidota. The record is from Rfam.
GCCCGGGUGGCGGAAUUGGUAGACGCGCAGGACUUAAAAUCCUGUAAUCAUUAUGAUUGUGCGGGUUCAAUUCCCGCCCCGGGUA